UAAGACUAUUGAAGUGUUUCAAAAGGAAACUCAAUAAAAAUUUAGCACUUGUAGCAAUAGUUGCCUCAUGAACAACUCUAUCAAUCUCAUCAGUCGUCACAAUCUACCUACUUAGAAUCAAAAAGGGCGUAUAUAAACUACAAUUUUGAACUAUUAAUAGGCUGUCAAGUUCACAUUUAAUUAAGCAUAGUGAAAUUCUAGAAAGAUACAAAUGCUACGAUUGGGACAAAGAAGAAGUAGGGGCUAAGAACAUAAGAUUAUCAGAUAUAGACCAUUCUAAACUAAUUCUAAAGCAACUUUACGGACUCAUAGUAUGAUCAAUCUCACAUGUUCAAAAUAUCGAAAACAGAUCUCAUAACAUAAUGUGUAGCAGUUCUUCAAAAACAUUAAACAAUGUUCAUCACUCCAAUUGUGGCAAAUCCACUGAAAGUAUCAAUGAUAUUAAAAUCAUUAGCAUAAACAAGUAGAACACGAUUCAGAUAUCAUAUAAGAUAGUAACAACUCAUUAACUCUCAUAAAAGAAACCCUUUAAAGUAGGUAAGAAUUAAGAUAUUGAAAGGGAUUCAAGUUUUAUCACUCACCUUCAUAAAAAUAGUGUCGGCUUUUGGAACACUAACAAAAAUGUCAGUGUGAAAUUUGAUGUCAGGAAACUGCUACAGAAAAAUAGCAAUGUGAAAUUUGAUGUCAGGAAACCAUUGCUAAAUCAAAAUGGGGCAUCUUCGAUGACAUGGGGUAAAUCAAAAUUAAUACCCUUGAUAUUGGGAUACUUUUGAGACUAUCAUGUUUAUUAUAGCUCCAGUUCCACCACCAACAUCAACUAGAGAAAUAUGUUGACAAAGAAAUGGACAUUUUUGAACUUUUUGAAGGAUUGUGUUGAAUUCAUUGAUUGAAGCAGAGUGUUGUCUCUUUUAAAAACGAGAAGAUAAAAUAUCAGUUGGUAAAUUAGUAAAUUCCUAAAAGUUGGUGAAAUUCGUGAGUUAAUGCAAGAAGGAAAAGAAGCCUCUGAGCAUAAAUGCAUCUGUAGAAUUUGGUGAGUAUGUAUAAUGGGAGGCGAAUAAAAUUUCAAUGAGGAUGAGUUUUCCACGAAGGCUUGAAAAAGGGGCAUCUACACUUUACCUAAUAUGUCACUAUUAGAGGGAAACUUUAAACUAAUCACAUAAGAGUCAGCAUUUGUAGUUGCACCAAAGUACUAUUACUAUCAUAUAGAAAUAUAUAGAUACUUACUAAAAAUAGUUUAUGUUCAGUUUUUCUGACAAGCUUAGCAGUCUUGGCUUUCCCAUCGAGCCUGGGCCUCGUAGAACUUUGCUUCUGGUUAGUAUUAUAUGGCUGACUUAGGAAAUGUUUCAUUUCCCAUUGAGACAAGAGGAGAACGAACUAAUUUGUAACUCCCAGGAAAUGUUUAAGUUGAACUUGGAACAUGUCACCAAACAAUCAUUUAAAAAAUCAAAGUGAUAUUUCUACCUGGUAUGAAUAAAAUGGUUAUUUCUAAUCGAGAUAGAAAUGCAAAUUUGACUUGAGAAACCAGCAUCUCCCCUGCAUCCAUUACAAAUAAAAUAGAUAUUAUAAACUAAUAUAUAAUCACAAUUGCUUAUUGAGAAACCAUCGUUU
RNAcentral lists this long non-coding RNA (1608 nucleotides) under Vigna radiata. Its description in RNAcentral is "long non-coding RNA (VRAD_LNC008247)". Lineage: Eukaryota; Viridiplantae; Streptophyta; Magnoliopsida; Fabales; Fabaceae. The record is from RNAcentral.